CCUACGGGGGGCUGCAGUGGGGAAUAUUGGACAAUGGGGGCAACCCUGAUCCAGCCAUGCCGCGUGUGUGAAGAAGGCCCUCGGGUUGUAAAGCACUUUCAGUGAGGAAGAACACCUGGUGGUUAAUACCCAUCAGGAAAGACAUCACUCACAGAAGAAGCACCGGCUAACUCCGUGCCAGCAGCCGCGGUAAUACGGAGGGUGCGAGCGUUAAUCGGAAUUACUGGGCGUAAAGCGCGCGUAGGUGGCUUGAUAAGCCGGUUGUGAAAGCCCCGGGCUCAACCUGGGAACGGCAUCCGGAACUGUCAAGCUAGAGUGCAGGAGAGGAAGGUAGAAUUCCCGGUGUAGCGGUGAAAUGCGUAGAGAUCGGGAGGAAUACCAGUGGCGAAGGCGGCCUUCUGGACUGACACUGACACUGAGGUGCGAAAGCGUGGGUAGCAAACAGGAUUAGAUACCCUAGUAGUC
Molecule: ribosomal RNA, 465 nt
Filed under: Vreelandella stevensii
Lineage: Bacteria; Pseudomonadati; Pseudomonadota; Gammaproteobacteria; Oceanospirillales; Halomonadaceae
Description: partial 16S ribosomal RNA
Rfam family: Bacterial small subunit ribosomal RNA
Source: RNAcentral